This 457-nucleotide long non-coding RNA is filed under the name Anser cygnoides (Swan goose). RNAcentral's name for it is "lncRNA (ENSACDG00005012962.1)". Lineage: Eukaryota; Metazoa; Chordata; Aves; Anseriformes; Anatidae. The record is from RNAcentral.
UGUGUUUCAAUUCACAGCUUAACUGUUGAUCUGGGAAAUCAAGCCAUGGUCUCAUAUGCACACUUCUCCAGACAACAUAAAAUUGUGAGAAGAAAGUCAGGUAUAGAAGGAUAAAUCAAUUCAUUUCCAUAAGAACAGAAGACAAGUGAGUUUUCUUCCCUCUCUCUUCAUUCAAGACAGAGGACAAGAUUAUAGAUUUUCACAGUAAAACAGUUGUAAAAAGAAGUCAACGCAGCAGUCAUGAAUCCACUGAGGUGUAAUGUCUUCAUGUACUCAGAGAAGCAUAUUUUUGCUUGAAAGUUUGCUUUAGUACGGGAAGAGACUCCAAUUAACUUCAGCAGCUUUGGGAUUGUACAAGGAUGAGAAAACCCACUGAAGACUAACAGAGUUGAAACACAAAGGGCACACAGUUAGGUAUGAGCUAAAAAGGUUUUUAGUACCUUUAACCUGAGCCAGA